AGCUAACCACCCGACUCGGCUUCGAGUCAAUCAUCCGCGGAUAGCCCGCGCGCUGGCUGCUCAACAGCCUACCGCUCUCAGCCCCCUAGCGGCGAAGUCGUCGCACACGCUAAGCUCGGCUCGAGUCGCACGACCUGACCAUCUGGUGGCGAUCGCGUAGCUCUUACCCAGCGUGGGCUCGAGACAUGACAUACCGUCUGGCGGCGAACGGAUCGCACCACACCCAACAACGGUCAUGUCAGACUCAGCCACCUGGAGGCACCCGCAUCGUACUUACCCAGCAUGGCAUCAGUCUGCUCUGGCGGCCUGAUCCCCAAUGGCUUAACCAUCCUGGCGGCGAAAACGUCGCACAAACGCCACGGCAAUGGCUCAAGCCCCGGGCGGUGAUCUCCACGCGGUCACGCCCAAUCUACCCACAGUACCAAGCUCGGCGGCGAAGUCGUCGCACACACGCCCUAGCUUGUACUAGGGACAUCAAAAGUCCUGGGAUUCCGGAAUCCACUUUCCACAGGUCGAGGGUUCAUAACCAACCCUAUAUUAUCGACCUAUCUCAUCCUAGUGGCUAUACCACUAUGCUCAUCAACCUAGGUUCCAAUACUCUAGGUUCUAUGUCCAUGUCGCUUAACUUAGGUACACUUGCUAGGUUCUUGUCCUCUUUGCCUAGAUGUCCAUUUCUAGGUUUACUAGUUCGACCUAGGUUUACUAGUUCGACCUAGGUUUACUAUCACUAGGUUCAAUGCCACACACCUAGAUUGUUUGACUCUAGGUUCACUAACACUAGGUUAGAUGCCACUCGAUCUAUCUGACAACCUAGUUGUCCAAUCCACUCUAUUUACACUAGAGCUAUCAUGUCACUUACUUAACUCUCAUGAGGCUACUUUGCAUUCUCCACUUUAACUAGCAUUAUAUACAUGCUAUGCUCAUUAUGCUUUCUAUGCACCAUUAUUUGACAUGCAUUUACACUAUGCAUUAUUAUCAUCAUGCAUUCAAAUUACUUAGCCCUUACCUUAUGCAUAUUUACUAAUGCAUCAUUUAGCCUUGUCUACAUGCACAUGCUUCAACCAGUUAUUACAUUGCUAAGACAUAAAGGGCGACCUAGUCGCUUCGGUAAGCACAACCCACCUUAGAUAGCUUUUCCGAUUGCUCGUCGACACUUGCAAUCGGCCUCCCGCGGCACUCGGCACCCGCUAAGGCCCGAUCUCACAGUGGCUCCCCAAGAGCGUGUCGCUUCGCUGUUUCGAGUGUCGGCGACCUUCGCCUUGCCGCUACGGUGCUCGGGAUCCGAUUUCACGAUUUUACGAUGUCACCUCGGCCGUCUCGGUGAACCCGAAGCCUAAACGUCUGUUUCUUUAAUAACUUCACAACGGCUUGUCGGAUUGCCGAACCGACUUCGCCAACGUGUUUCGUUACCUACCAAUUAGGUUUACAAGGGGUCAAAUGAGACCAAUCCCAUCUAUUUACAAAAACCCCUCUUUGAUGCCCUAGAUGCCAUUAUUGCCAAUUCCACCAAAUCGAUCUAUGAUUUGGGGUGAAAUCAUCUAAAUAGCAUGCUAGGGUGCCACUAAAUCCAUUUCUAGGGUUUUAGAACCCAUCUCAAAGAAAUCACCAUGAGAAGCCAUGAAACUCACCUCUCUAAGAGCUCCAAGGAGAAGAAGAAGACGAAGAGGAUGACGAUGGCGACGAUCUCCUGCAUCUCCUCCAUCUUCUCCUUCUUUUUCUCCUCUCUUUUCCUUUUCUUUCUUUCUUUCUUUCUCUUUUCCUUCUUUUCUCCCUUGCACGAACAGAGGAAGAGGGAGAGGCUGAGGGAGUGUGAGAGAGAGAGAGAAAUAUCCCUCUCUAAUACCCUCUCACAUAUUGUAACAAUAUCCCCAAAGGCCCCUCAACUUUUCGUCUCUUACACAGCCCUUAUUGGGCGUUCUGCGCGCGGAGCGACCGGUCUCCCCGACCUGGGACCGGUCCCCGGGGCCUUCCCCCGCGGACACGCGUUCGGGAACCGGUCCCUCCCUGAGAGACCGGUCCUCGGGAGACCGGUUCCUCUCAGAGAGACCGGUUCCCGAGAGCUAUACUUUUGGGACUUAGCCGAUUUUUGGCUCUUCUCACUGAUGUCGCAGGCUGGGACCGGUCCCUCCUCUGUCAGGGACCGGUUGCAUCAGCAACCCCACAGCCUUCGGCUGAUGGGACCGGUCUCUCACAUCCAGAGACCGGUCCCCGAGAGCAACUUCAGCCCAAAAAUGCUAUUUGCAUUGUUUGCUCUCGCGGACUCCAUUCUAAUGCACUUCUCGAUUCUCGUGCAUCCCAAGCUUUUCCAAAGCUUAUCCAUUCGACCAUUAGUCAAUCCUGGACGAAGUGCAACCCUCGGACUUCGAGGAUUCACAUUGUUACAUUCUCCCCUACUUAAAAAGAGUUUCGUCCGCGAAACUCACUCAUUUCUAACCCCUUUAUUCCUCGACCCACUUCUCGAGUACUCAAGGGUUUCAAUGCACUUUUGCACCUCGGAGUGGCCUUUUUUGUCAUCGAACUCAUCAAAAGGCCCACCACGAAGAACGUGAUACCACAUUUACUCAUAUUUUCCCACUUGCAACUUCAAAAGUGCAUUACCACUUACAAUCUCAAUAGCAGCGUGAGUCAUUACUCACAACUACAUGCACCACACUAACAGCCACCCGGCUUAGGCAGAACUACCCUUCGCUCUAUGGUGCGGAUUUAGCACAGUCGCAUCCCCUCGAUGAUCGUUCCACCACCGCAACUCUAUGUGUACGGGUAGACUCUCUCAAGUUACUCGAGUACUCACCAGGUGGUACUUCACCGACCUUGGCUAUACAAAGCCCGAAACCACCUUAUCAUCUUAUCGUCUUACCCAUACCAUCUCACCCAUCGGGAGAUGGCGUUCUUUCGUGCAUCUUGGAUUCUCAAUCCUUUUGAGAGCAUCAGUCUCGAUUUCAACUUCUCUCGUGGCUACCCAUUACUCAAGCGUCUCCUAGAGAUCACCUUCCUUUCUCCGGGCAUUAUAAGCCACGUUCAACUUCACGUGAACUCUUCGUUCGCGAAUCCGAGCCCAAACUCACUAAUAGAGUUUCCGGCUAUACCGAUCGUCACUUCCUCAGGUGGACUAAGACCACCAGUUCCUACGUAAGUCAAUCGCUUAACUCAUCUCGACGACGCCUAGCGUCACUCGCUCGCGAGCGUAGACCCAAUUAACAUUCUCGGGCGACAUUCCCAUUGAAGAAUUCGCACGCACUCCAAACAGGAGCAUCCAAGUCCUCAAAUCCCGUCAAGUCCUCAGGUCGGGUCACUACACACUCGACGUACUAUCGUUCUCACGAUCCUACGUGGCAUCCCACGCACUCGGGUCUAAGCUCGGACUACCGUCCUGACCAGAACUCUCCACCCUACCUAUAGAUAUCGGGCCGCUGUCUCUCACAGCUGACUGCGCCUGCCCAAUGGGCCCAGGCUCCACAGUCCUCAAAUGGUCCAGGCACGGGUCGUCCCCAAGCACUACCCACCAACGUCGUCCUAUACGACAUGCUCUACAGAGCGACCAACUCUAUCGGCUCCUAUGCACCUAGUGCGAGCCACCAGCCCCACGAGUAAUCCAUGGCCCGCUUCACACUUAGCCCCGCUAAAGUGCUACUGCCAAUCCACUCGACCGGCUGAAUCGAAUUCGCACCUCACGAGUAACUAUACUCGAGCGCUCUACGCCUCCAUAGCGUCUUACACGACAUCCGGCAUCAGGCAACUUAGCCUAUGCGCACCGGCCACACGAGCAACCACUCAUCUACCUCAAUUCGAGGUACUACUAGUCCCACAGGCCAAGUUCGGCACUACUCGGCCACUCUCUCAACAGUGAUUCUACUUUCACUGUUCGAUUCGUCAAAACAACAUCCGAGAUGCUCAGGCUACUCGAGUACUGGCGAUGUUACAGCGUAAUUCUCGCAAUUCGGUACUACUCAACCAAUUCCGCAACAGCGGCUUCUCACCACUGUUCGAUCUAUCGAAUCCACAUCUGGAAUACUCUUGGGAUAUUCGGGUGUCCCCAAACAUCAAGGCUAAACUCUCGUAAUCUCGAAUCCAAUGCUUCGAGAGUCCCUUCACCACUCGCUUCCUAUCCAAAAUCACCACUAGCUAUUUGCUAGGGUCACUUGGCUUUCUACCUGCUCCAGUAGACGCCAUACUCUCAUCCUGCUAGCAUGCUCGGGUACCUACUUGCCCGACCACUCGGUCUCUACUAUGCAAUGUAGUAAUAGUAGCAACUGACCAAUAAAGAAUGCACGCUAUGCACCAACUUGAGAUUAGUAAAAGCACAUGCUUGCUCAAUUAACUCAUACCUGCCACGACGACGUCGACAACGGCAGGCACCGCAACUCGGGUCGCUUAUCCAUGGCCGCUUGGCGCUCGUCGCGAACCCUCUGGUUGCAACGUCCUCAACGGCUGCUCCCCUGACCAUGCCGCAGGUGGCAUACCCGCCGGCUGUCCCGAAGAGGUACGGGCCACUGCCAGUGUCAAGGCCCGGCUAUCACCCUGCGGACACUCGUCCCGUACAUGACCCGGCAGCCCACACUUGAAGCACCUGCCCUCGCGCUGUUCACACUGCUGUGGGAAAUGAGGGCCUCCACAAAUCGCACAUCUCGCCGAGGACCGAAUGUGAUACGUCCCCGGAGCUCUAGAUCGAGAGCGCGUCCUCACUGAGGUCUGCUGGGAACUCGACUGACCAUCAUGUCCACUUACUGGCCGUCCCUUUCCCUUUUCCUUGUAAUGCUCCUCGCGCUUUUCCCGCAGGAAUGCAUUGCCUUGUUCUAUCCACAAGGCCCGAUUCAGGACUUCAGCGAAAGUUUGUAACUUAAGCAUCAGCACUGCCUGGUACAAGUCCGGCCGAAGCCCCCGCACGAAGCAAUCAGCCUUGUCCUCAUCGUCCCGCACCACGUCUGGGACGCAAUGCACGAUACGGGAAAAUUCCCGCUCGUAUUGCCUAACCGUGCGACUCCCUUGUCGCAGAUUAAGGAACCUCUCCUUAAGCUUCCGCUUCUCACUAUCGGGGAAAUAAGCAGAGAAUAUCAAUCCCUGAAAUUCUUCCCAAGCCAUAGGAGGGAGACUAGGUUGUCGGUCUCGCUUGACGCCUUUCCACCACACCUUCACCGAUUGUUUCAGGUAAUGCGCGGCUAGGUUCACUUUGUCUCGCUCCAGCGUGUACAGAUCCUCGAAGAGUGUUUCCAUGGAAUCGAUCCACAUCUCAACGACCCACGGAUCUGCAUCUUCACCAUCAAAGGUAGGCGGAUCAAACUUCUUGAAAGUCAUGAGGGCCGCUAAAGCUCGCUCCCUUUCCGCCACAACCUCUGGGCCAACAGGAGUCGGAUCGCCCAACCCCGACGGAAACAGCUCCGCCGCAACUCCCGGCUGUCCUCGACCAGCCGCAGCUGGUGCUGCCACCAGCCGAUCCACAGUCUCUUGGAGUCGUUCCAUUCGCUCCUCUUGGCGCAUAGCAGCCUCCUGCUGCUGCUGCACUAUAUCAGCUUGUUGUCUCAUCACUCCUACGAGUGUGGCCAGCUGAUCACGAAGCUCUGCACCUUCGCUCGCGUCGGUUCGCUCAGGGGCACCACCCGUCCCCUCCCGCGCCGAUCUAGAUGAAGAUCGCCUUCGCGGUGCCAUCGUUUCUUGAAACAGGACAACUCGAUUAGCCCUCUACCGACCUGGGUCGAACGCGAGACUACUAACACGGCUCAAAGCCAAUCUGGCGAAAGUCAAACAAGGGUGUCUAUCCUCAUCACUCGAUUUCACAUUGUGUGCACCCAACAUGAACACCCUCGGCUGAGAAUAAACAUUACCUUGAAUCUACCUCUAAUGUCCAUCUUAGAGGUUAUGACACGACCCAAUCCAUUACCUUUCGCCGCAAAUCACAAGUCCUCGUCUCUCACGAGCCUUAUUCUCCUAUGGUUUACUAUCCUAGGGUCUCCUAGGUCUGCCUAAACCAUUUUCUAUCCAGUUCUACUUUAUGCUCUGAUACCAUCUUAUCUGUCACGCCCCACGACCAACCGCCUAUUUGGACCGAGUCGCGGCGCCGACGACAGACCGUCGAACGGACCGGGGAUUUCCCUGUACGCGGACAGAGUCUCCCCAGUACGUCCAAGGCGUCGCAAAUCUAAACAAUCAACGAAUGUUCCAACAAGGAACGGAUAUCAAUCCAGAUUGCAUAAGGAAGUAUCAAAUACAUAAUCUACUUGCUAUUACAAGCAUUCAUUUAAAUACAUCUCAGUACACCCCAAAUCAGUUUACAUUUUACUUCCGAUUACAAUCACAAUGUACUACAUCCUUUAUUUUACAAGUUUGGUACAUCAUGAUUCUAGCCUUCUAGACCCCUAAGCUAGACUGCCUCAGGGCACUGCUACCUCGGUCUCUGUGGUGGGGCGCUAUCUACUGAGCUACGCCCUCGCCUCGCGCCGCCGCGCCGCACACGAACAACCUGAAAACCCCAAAACAACGUGGGGUGAGAACCAACUCCAUGGUUCCCAGUGGGUACGGCCACCCAAGGGAAAAGCCCGACCGAUAGGUCUAAAUAGGCCCUGCAACAUGUCAGUUCAACAAUAUACAAUGCGAAUAUAUUCAAUUGAAAAACUUGUCAGGCCUAACAAUAUGCGAUAUGAAAAUCAUGCAUCUAAACGCCUUUCUAGUAGAUUACUUGAUUCUAUAGUUACUUAGCUACUUUAGCUUACAUCUUUACUCUAAGGUCUCUAUUACCUUAGCUCAAACCUCUAUCUCUCGCUCAUAAGGGUUCCUCUACCCUAUAAUAGCUAACCACCCGACUCGGCUUCGAGUCAAUCAUCCGCGGAUAGCCCGCGCGCUGGCUGCUCAACAGCCUACCGCUCUCAGCCCCCUGGCGGCGAAGUCGUCGCACACGCUAAGCUCGGCUCGAGUCGCACGACCUGACCAUCUGGUGGCGAUCGCGUAGCUCUUACCCAGCGUGGGCUCGAGACAUGACAUACCGUCUGGCGGCGAACGGAUCGCACCACACCCAACAACGGUCAUGUCAGACUCAGCCACCUGGAGGCACCCGCAUCGUACUUACCCAGCAUGGCAUCAGUCUGCUCUGGCGGCCUGAUCCCCAAUGGCUUAACCAUCCUGGCGGCGAAAACGUCGCACAAACGCCACGGCAAUGGCUCAAGCCCCGGGCGGUGAUCUCCACGCGGUCACGCCCA
RNAcentral lists this long non-coding RNA (7187 nucleotides) under Ananas comosus (pineapple). Its description in RNAcentral is "long non-coding RNA (ACOM_LNC039410)". The record is from RNAcentral. Lineage: Eukaryota; Viridiplantae; Streptophyta; Magnoliopsida; Poales; Bromeliaceae.